CAAAACUUUACAAUGCGGGMAACCGUGAUARGGGAACUCCGAGUGCCCGUUAAAUCGGGCUGUCCACCAGUUUAAAUAACUGGUGAAGAAAGGGCCGGGCAAGACCGGUGCCAGCCGCCGCGGUAAUACCGGCGGCUCGAGUGGUGGCCACUAUUACUGGGCUUAAAGCGUUCGUAGCUGGUUUGUUAAGUCUCUGGGGAAAUCUUCCGGCUUAACCGGAAGGCGUCUCAGGGAUACUGGCAGACUAGGGACCGGGAGAGGUGAGGGGUACUCCAGGGGUAGGAGUGAAAUCCUGUAAUCCUUGGGGGACCACCUGUGGCGAAGGCGCCUCACCAGAACGGCUCCGACAGUGAGGGACGAAAGCUGGGGGAGCAAACCGGAUUAGAUACCCGGGUAGUCCCAGCCGUAAACUAUGCGCGUUAGGUGUAUCGGUGACCACGAGUCACCGAGGUGCCGAAGAGAAAUCGUGAAACGUGCCGCCUGGGAAGUACGGUCGCAAGGCUGAAACUUAA
Molecule: ribosomal RNA, 512 nt
Filed under: uncultured euryarchaeote
Lineage: Archaea; Methanobacteriati; Methanobacteriota
Description: bacterial SSU rRNA
Rfam family: Archaeal small subunit ribosomal RNA
Source: RNAcentral